Molecule: ribosomal RNA, 699 nt
Filed under: uncultured bacterium
Lineage: Bacteria
Description: bacterial SSU rRNA
Rfam family: Bacterial small subunit ribosomal RNA
Source: RNAcentral
UGCUCGCUUGGUGUGGGGAGGUUCGACCCUCUCCGUGCCGGAGCUAACGCGUUAAGCGAGCCGCCUGGGGAGUACGGUCGCAAGACUAAAACUCAAAGAAAUUGACGGGGACCCGCACAAGCGGUGGAGUAUGUGGCUUAAUUCGAUGCAACGCGAAGAACCUUACCUGGGUUUGACAUGCUUGUCAUAUCCUGAUGAAAGUCGGGAGUCACUUCGGGUGGACAUGCACAGGUGCUGCAUGGCUGUCGUCAGCUCGUGUCGUGAGAUGUUCGGUUAAGUCCGGCAACGAGCGCAACCCCUGUGAACUGUUGCCAGCGAGUAAUGUCGGGGACUCUGUUCAGACUGCCGGUAUUUAAAUCGGAGGAAGGUGGGGACGACGUCAAGUCAGUAUGGCCCUUAUACCCAGGGCUGCACACGUACUACAAUGCCCAGCACAAUGAGAUCCGAUACCGCGAGGUGGAGGAAAUCCUGAAAACUGGGCUCAGUUCGGAUCGGAGGCUGCAACUCGCCUCCGUGAAGUUGGAAUCGCUAGUAAUGGCACAUCAGCUACGGUGCCGUGAAUACGUUCCCGGGUCUUGUACACACCGCCCGUCACAUCAUGGAAGCUGGUCGCGCCCGAAGUAUCUGAGCCAACCGCAAGGAGGCAGGAUCCUAAGGUGUAACCGGUAACUGGGAUGAAGUCGUAACAAGGUAGCCGUA